This 254-nucleotide ribosomal RNA is filed under the name uncultured prokaryote. RNAcentral describes it as "partial 16S ribosomal RNA". It matches the Rfam family "Bacterial small subunit ribosomal RNA", at positions 524 to 777 of the family's 1533-position model. The record is from RNAcentral.
UACGGAGGAUGCGAGCGUUAUCCGGAUUUAUUGGGUUUAAAGGGUGCGUAGGCGGCCUUGUAAGUCAGCGGUGAAAUUUUGCAGCUUAACUGUAAAAGUGCCGUUGAUACUGUGAGGCUAGGAUUUGGUUGCUGUGGGUGGAAUGUGUGGUGUAGCGGUGAAAUGCUUAGAUAUCACACAGAAUAUCAAUUGCGAAGGCAGCUCACAAAGCCAAGAUUGACGCUGAGGCACGAAAGUGUGGGGAUCAAACAGGA